ACUGACAGCCAUGGUUACCGCGGCUGCUGGCACGGAGUUAGCCGGUGCUUCUUCUGUGAGUUGACUGUCCUUCCUGCCGGCUAUUAACCCGACAGGCCUUCUUCCUCACUGAAAGUGCUUUACAACCCGAAGGCCUUCUUCUACACACGCGGCAUGGCCUGGAUCAGGGUUGCCCCCAUUGUCGAAUAUUCCCCACUGCUGCCUCCCGUAGGAGUCUGGGCCGUGUCUCAGUCCCAGUGUGGCUGAUCAUCCUCUCAGACCAGCUACGGAUCGUCGCUUGGUGAGCCGUUACCUCACCAACCAGCUAAUCCGACAUAGGCUCAUCCGAUAGCGCGAGGCCC
RNAcentral lists this ribosomal RNA (341 nucleotides) under uncultured bacterium. RNAcentral describes it as "partial 16S ribosomal RNA". The record is from RNAcentral.